This 328-nucleotide unclassified non-coding RNA is filed under the name soil metagenome. Its description in RNAcentral is "partial contains 5.8S ribosomal RNA, internal transcribed spacer 2, and large subunit ribosomal RNA". The stretch from base 1 to 120 matches the Rfam family "5.8S ribosomal RNA", at positions 35 to 154 of the family's 154-position model. The record is from RNAcentral.
GAUGAAGAACGCAGCGAAAUGCGUUAAGUAAUGUGAAUUGCAGAAUUCAGUGAAUCAUCGAAUCUUUGAACGCACAUUGCGCCCCUCGGUAUUCCGAGGGGCAUGCCUGUUCGAGCGUCAUUAUAACCCUUCAAGCUCAGCUUGGUGUUGGGGCCUGCUGUAACUGGUAGCCCUUAAAAUCAGUGGCAGUGCUAUUAGGCUCUAAGCGUAGUAAUUCUUCUCGCUAUAGUGUGUAGUGAGCGCUUGCCAGAACCCCAAUCUUUUAUAUGAUUGACCUCGGAUCAGGUAGGGAUACCCGCUGAACUUAAGCAUAUCAAUAAGCGGAGGA